ACAAUUGGGAAAACUGGUUAUUUUACCAAGGCUUUAACUGGAAUGGUGUGCCUUCCUUUAAGGAAUCAAAUUUGACUUAUGGAGCCAAUAAAGCCCUUGGAAAGCUGGCCUCAGAUUUCAUGUACAGUCCCUGUACAGGGUUUCCGAUCUGUGAGAUUUUUUAAACUGACAGGAUCAUGGCCAUUUCACAGACAACUACCCAAAAAUAUCUACAGACGGCACUGCUCCUACCAACCCGAUACCAGAGAACUCUCUGUCCCCUCGUCAGCAGGAAGUAGCCAGAAAGAACAUGCCGCCCCUCGUCCUUUUUAUAACUAUGAGGUCUGGAUUGACAGAGCAGAAGCAUCACCAUUGUGGAUAAGCGCCUCAUUUUAAAAUUCACCUUAAUCAAAAACUGCCUAAAUCCAAAGGGCAUCAGCCUAAUGGCUAAGGUCAGCAUGAUCACAAACCACAAAUAACAUCUCCAACCAAAAACAUUCCAGACACCUCCCACAGAGAAAUGCUAGCCUCGGGAUAACCCCUCUCCUGCCGGAAAGAUGUCACCCCCAAGAUAACCACCCCUCCGCCCAGAACAUUCCAACCCUGCCACAAACUUCUCCCCCACACAGAAACAUUCCAAGCUUGUAAUAAGCUCCCUCACCCUAAAACCAACGUACAUUCUUAGUCUGCAAGGAAAAGUGCUCCUGACUGACCAGCCA
This 698-nucleotide long non-coding RNA is filed under the name Homo sapiens (human). Its description in RNAcentral is "non-protein coding lnc-ZNF625-ZNF20-2:4". Lineage: Eukaryota; Metazoa; Chordata; Mammalia; Primates; Hominidae. The record is from RNAcentral.